UGACCUCAUGAUACUUGCGGAGUCAAGGCUCUUUUUGCAGCAAGAAAACAACGUUGUCUCACGAGGUCACAGGCCGACAGCCGAACUAGCGACUGGCAGUUGUAAACAUCAGGUUGAAAACCAGCAACAAUUUAAAGAUGCAUAAAUUCAGAUUGCUUUGGGGUAUUCCCUGUGACAAUCAACUAUUCUGUUGAGAAGUGGAGACCGUCACUGGAACAACGAUCAGUGCAUUAAACCACGUGAAUAACUACAUUGUGACUGAAGACCGAGGACAAUUAAUCAGAUUUGAACAAUUAGUUUCAUUGAAGUUAAUAAGUAAACAAAGCUAACUUUAUAUCAAGAUGUCGGACACAAAUACAGAAAAAUAUGACAGUGAUGAUGAUUGGGACAUGCAGCUCUAUCCUAAAGAAAGCAACGACUCCAGCAAUGAUGCGUCAGAUGAGCGUGAGGAUACAGAGGAAAGUGAUAGUGAAGAACCUGCUAUGCCACCACCAAUGACACUGAGGCAAAGAAGACUAAGCAAAUCUGUUGCUCUGGCAUCACUUAACACUGCUCAAUCAAACUCAACUGCUAUGAAAUUAAAAAUGACCACUGCACAUGCACGAGCAAAGUUUAAUUGGGCUUUGGCUAUUAGAAAGGCAAAAUUAUUAAAUGAUCCAUGGAAAGCCUUUCAUAUUGAGGAUAUUGAUUCCGAAGUUUGUAUCAGACAUCGCUAUAACCCACAUAAAAAGACAUGGUUAACAGAUGAGGUUAAGGUCAAGAUUGAAUCCAAGUCAUUCAACAGAGGAGCAAUGAGAAAGUGUUACCGACUGAAGAAACUGUCUCAUUUCUUGAAGAACCCGGACUGGAAUCACAGUGGAAAUUAUGUGGCCAAACACUACAUACAGACAGUUGACAGAGAUGUGUAUUUCCAGGAUGUCAAACUUCAGAUGGAUGCCAAGGUUUGGGCAGAGGAGUACAACAGACACAGACCUCCAAAAAAGGUGGACAUAUUCCAGAUGUACAUCUUAGAAUUUAGGGACAGACCAGGUUCUCCCUUGUAUCACCUUGAGCACUUCAUUGAAGGUCAUUAUGUCAAGUACAACUCCAACUCUGGGUUUGUGGACGACUCCCUGCGUUACACUCCACAGGCCCUCAGUCACUUCACGUUUGAGCGAUCUGGUCACAUGCUGAUCGUUGUGGACAUACAGGGAGUCGGUGACCUUUACACUGACCCUCAGAUACACACUAUUGAGGGCAAUGAGUAUGGGGAUGGCAACCUUGGGGCUAAGGGCAUGGCCCUCUUCUUCCACUCACACAUCUGUAAUGACAUCUGCAGGAGUCUUGAUCUCACUGAGUUUGAUCUCUCACCCACGGAACUCGACUCUCACAAAGACAUUCUCCGCAAUCAGAGAAAGUCGAUGAUGAAAACAAGGUUAAGAGGGGACGAGGAACGCUGUAUUUCUCUCUCAUCUCCUGACACAAAGAUUGAUAUUACUCGUUUCUUGGAGCGCCAGCGAUCCAACUCGUCUGUGCUGAGUGACUCAGCGAUAGAUGAGGAAACUGAUGAGGGUAUGUCCAUUGACAGUCCAUCGCCGAGGGUGAGGGUCAGCCGCAUGAGGUUCAUCAGUGAAUCGGAGAGAUCAGACAAAUCAGACAGCCAAUCCUCCAUGACAGUAGAGGAGGAACGAGAGGCAUUCCAAAGAAUGGCACAGCAAAGAGCUCGGCCAUCUUGUGUUGCUAUGGAGAUUGACUUCAGGAAACUGAUGAAUGUAAGGGUCGGUGAUUCUACAUUAGGAAAGAUUCAUCAUGAGAUGGCUAAAUACCAUGAAAUAGGCAGAUUCGUGGUUGGGCAGGAGAGAAACGAGAAGGACAUUGAUUGGGAAUCAGCCAUAUUUCACGAGGAGCAUGCUGCGGAGCUGGGGGAAAUGGAGGCCAUGCUUACCCUGUCCAAACUCUAUCUGGACAUGGAGAGGGAAGUCCUGGUCAGCUGUGUUGUCAAGAAGAGUGAUGAGAACUUUAACAUAGGAGUUGACUACAUGGUGGAGGCCGCUGAGGCUGGGGACCGGGAAGCCAUGAUCUACAUGGCUAAAGCAUUCGAGACUGGCUAUGGCCUUGGCACAAAAAGGUCGAUAUCGUGGGAGGAUUCACUGUCCUGGUAUGAACGGGCUGUGGAGACCGACAACCAUGAUGAAGGAGGCGAGUACAGCUGUGCAAUGGAGGACCCUAUCCAUAUCCUCAUAGCCAAGAAGGCAGAACUGCUCCAUACAGGGGGCCAUGGGCUGGACAAGGAUCCAUCAACUGCAGGGGACUUAUACAAUGAGGCUGCAGAAGCAGCAAUGGCUGCAAUGAAGGGAAGACUGGCCAAUAAAUACUUCGCUCUGGCAGAGGAGGCCUAUGGGGAGGUCGAGGAGGAGGAGUGAGGAAGGUUGGUCUGGCUGGACAGGAAGAAGAGUGAGGGGCACUAGUCUGGCAGAGGAGGCCUACGGGGAGGUCGAGGAGGAGUGAGGAAGGUUGGUCUGGCUGGACAGGAAGAAGAGUGAGGGGCACUAGUCUGGCAGAGGAGGCCUAUGGGGAGGUCGAGGAGGAGGAGUGAGGAAGGUUGGUCUGGCUGAACAGGAAGAAGAGUGAGGGGCACUAGUCUGGCUGAGGAGGUGUACCGGAGGCCGAGGAAGGAACAGAUACAGAUGUUAAGCAUAACAAAUCAUGAAGAGUUCUGAUAGAAAAGUGAUUUCUAGUGUUUCGUCUAUCUGUAUAGUUAUGUAACUGUGUUUUGAAAUGUUUUAUGUGUAAGCUAUGGAUAACAUAGGAAGAACAGAAUGCACAAUGUAACAUUGUGGUUGUUAUACACAGUAGCAUGUGUAUUAUUAGAGACGCUGCUAUCACUAAAUCAGUGGAGUUAUUUGUGAAGGGUUACUUAAUGUAAGUCAAUUAGUUGUAUGAUAAAACAAUUUUCUACGAAAAGAUCUUUGGUGAAGGUUUUGGUAUGUUUAAUUGGUGGUGUUCCAUUCAUUGUGUACAAGGAUAGCAUUGAUAAAUCCUUUCAGUUAUUGGUUUUGUAUUGUUUUAACUGAGUUCUGAGACCGACAUGUUAAUAAAGAAUUUCAUUAGGAAAACUCUUUUAUUUAGAUGUCUUUAGCAUUAAGACUACAGUAUGAAAUAAUACACCAAUAUCAGUUAGGACUUGAUAUACUGAUCAGGUAGUCAGCAUAUUGAAUGUAUAAAACAGCUUGUUUAUCAGACAUGAGGUACAUAUUGUAUAGAACAGCUUGUUUAUCAGACAUGAGGUACAUAUUGUAUAGAACAGCUUGUUUAUCAGACAUGAGGUACAUAUUGUAUAGAACAGCUUGUUUAUCAGACAUGAGGUACAUAUUGUAUAGAACAGCUUGUUUAUCAGACAUGAGGUACAUAUUGUAUAGAACAGCUUGUUUAUCAGACAUGAGGUACAUAUUGUAUAGAACAGCUUGUUUAUCAGACAUGAGGUACAUAUUGUAUAGAACAGCUUGUUUAUCAGACAUGAGGUACAUAUUGUAUAGAACAGCUUGUUUAUCAGACAUGAGGUACAUAUUGUAUAGAACAGCUUGUUUAUCAGACAUGAGGUACAUAUUGUAUACUCUAUCCAAUCCUGUUGCCAGUUUCCCUACCACCAACCUAGAAACUGACAUAAAAACUUAAAUACGUGUGUUUAGCUAAAAUUUCAGUUCAAUAUUUUCCAAAAUGUUUUGAGACAUUUUUACAAAUUUUAUAUAAAACAUGUAUUGAUCUUCUGCACCAGUGAUAUAUUCUGUGAUAAAUCCCGGUUUUACAAUGAUAGCAAAGACAAUACUCUUGUCUUUAAUACCCGUAGUGAUCUACAAACAGACUAAUUUUCAAUGUUUUAGAAAAAGAUAUUAUAGCAAGUGAUAUUUUAUAAUGAGAUUAGUUAGUCUUCUGUGUAACCACUUUUGUAUUUGACAUUGUUUUGAAUGAAAUGUAACUGCCCUCUAAAAGUAAGUCAUGUCACCAUCUUUUAGACCUUUAUUUACAUCUGUUUGCGUGUAUCAUUCUUGAUUAUGUCCAGCAAUGAAUGAUUGACUCCAGUGUCUCAGAAUUCUCUUUUUGAAAUGUAUAUGGCUUCUAUUAUAUGAAUUUAACAAAAGAAAUAUUUCUUUGGAUGUCAUUGUAAAAACUAAAUAGAACUUAUUUUUUUGUGAAAAAAAUGUGUGAACAGACAUUUGUAAACGUUUUGGGGUUUGUUUGUUUGUUUGUGUUUUACGUCCUAUUAACAGCUGUGGUCAUUUAAGGACGUGCCAGGUUUUGGUG
This 4281-nucleotide unclassified non-coding RNA is filed under the name Mizuhopecten yessoensis (Yesso scallop). Its description in RNAcentral is "eukaryotic elongation factor 2 kinase-like, transcript variant X1". The record is from RNAcentral. Lineage: Eukaryota; Metazoa; Mollusca; Bivalvia; Pectinida; Pectinidae.